Balaenoptera ricei (Rice's whale) is the source of this 7149-nucleotide long non-coding RNA. RefSeq lists it as uncharacterized. The record is from RefSeq and is a predicted model, not a curated record. NCBI's taxonomy places the organism in Eukaryota, Metazoa, Chordata, Mammalia, Artiodactyla, Balaenopteridae. The transcript is spliced from 3 exons.
GGGAGCGUCCCCAGGAACAUCCAGGGGAUCGCCACCGGGGCCCCAGUGGUCCCACAGGCCUCCUGAGGCUGGCUGUGCUGUGCUGAAGCCCACAUCAAGGGCCCUGGGGAUGGCAGCAGAGGCCAGCAUGGUUGAGGGUCCCCCGCACCCACCUCAUCUCUGCAGGGACCACAGAACUGCACGCACCGUGGGUGUUCUUCACCUGCUCACAAAAGAGCCGGGUCAUUGCAUGCAGCAGGAAAGGCUUGACGGGGGGUGACGGGAGGAAGGGCAGGAGCAGAGAUUUUCCAUCUUGAUGGUUUUGUUCAAGGCUAGCCCAGAAGCAGCUGACGUUGGCUUCAUUUAUCCAAAGGGCACGGCGAGUGACCCUCUACAACCCAGGGAUCCUGAAAUAUUUAGAAGCUCUAAUGUUUGGGUGGGAAGAGAACCUCUUUUGGAUGAGAAGCUCAAUUAUUGAGGAAAGGAGAGCUCCCGUUGUCUGGGGCGUAGGGGGGGCACCUUCCUGCUGCGUUGGCAGGGUGCCGGGCGCGGGGCACCCUGCCUGGGACACUUGCCCUGCUCUGUGGGUGAGGCCUCUCCCACAGUGCUGGGCUCUGGGGGACUUUUCUCGUGGCCAAACUCUUCGGGAAAGUGACACAACGGCCUAUUUCUUCCAACAGCACCUCUGAUUCAGCCUAGGGUAUGGUUCGAGGUUGCAUCUCUUGUAAACCCCCCUUCAGCUGCUGUCAAGGGCUGGCACCGGAGUUCUUGAAUUUAGGCUGAUGUGGGUCCUGCUAGAGCCUGCUGUCCUCUGCACAUGUCAACAAAUGUGUAUGCAGGUGUGGACCAGCUGGAUCUCUCUCCUUCUCUGGGAAGCGUGGUUUUCAGCAGCGUCAGGCUGGGAAGACAGACAUUUCAUGAACCCUGAAGUCCUGUGCAGGCAGUUGUCACACAGUGUUCCACCAGCGGCCCACGGCCGGCACAGAACACUGCAAAGCUCCAUCUAGCACAAGUGACCACGGGGAACGGGUUGAGAAUCCUGCUGCAUUGUACACGUCUCCUAAGGGAAGAACAUCAAGAAAGAUGAGCUCGCCGCGGAAUUGGCGAACUGUGUGGAAGGGGCGGGAUCUGUAGAGCUCAGCAGCGGCGAGCUCCUGUCAUGGCUUGGCCAGUUCGGGUCUCCCCCUGUCACUUAUGAGGGUGCGGCGAUGUUUUCCCAGAUGUGGUCCCCGUGUACAAAACAAAGAAUCGCUUUGCACAAAGCCAGAAGGGAUACAUUGAAAGAAUUAUCAGAAGAGAAUAAUACAUAGGAAAUGUUUGUGCUUGCAUGCAAGGAAACUUUGGGGGGUAUCUGUGGCUGCCAAAGUGACAUCUGGCAGGAUUAACUGGAUCACCAGAGCCAAACAAUGAGGACUGGGAAGGCAGCAAUAACUGUGAGGCCUGGGCCCAUGUGGGGGCAAGAUUUUGAGAAUGACCACUUAGGUGACAAAAUGGGAUUCCCACGAACCGCAGCUCUGGUUAGUUUCUGGUCUGGAGCCAGAUCCUCUCUCUGAUGCAGACGUGGGAGGACGGAGCGGCAAGAGCUGCCCAGCUGCUCAUCUGGGAACUCAUCCUCCAAGGGACUCUGUCCCUCGUUCUCCUCCCGUACCUGGAGGCGGCAGUCAGCGGGCAGCACCUCUCACAGCACCCCCACGUACACCUGCUCAGACCACCUGCUCAGAGCUACUCUUUUGCCCAGCCCAGCAUACCUGUUCCACCUGUCUGAAGACCCGCCGCACGUUUCCUCGAAGCACACCCCAGAGCUCUUCGUCACUCCAGCCACGCCUCAGCAACUCCUGUAUCAGUACCGGGUAUAUGGACACGUCCUCCAGCCCCUGUGGGAACCUGUGUGGCCGCCAGCCAGCCAGCUAUUGGGCCUCAGACCUGUUCCCUGGUCCUGAGUCAGAACCAGAGCCCUAUGUGUCCAGGGUCCACUGAACCCCAGCCCUGGUCAGAUAGGGAAAAUGGAGACUUGGAGAGAGUAAAUGAUUCACUCCUGCUCUUCAUCCUUCAAAGGAAGGCCCCAAGAGCGCCUCGACUAUUCGUCAAAACUCAUUGAAUUGUACUGUUAAGAUCUAUGCCUUUCACUGAAUGCAAUUUUUGCCUCCAUUUAUAAAGAGAAGAAAAGCUUUUUAAGAACUGGGUUGACCCCCCUGCGUGCACAGACCCAGCUGCAGGCAGAGACGAUGGUCAGCCCAGCCCAGACCUUGCGAAGAGUCUGCUCAGAGGCCGUGGGUCUGCUGGCACUGGAUGGGCGCAGAUGCUGGGCAGAUGAGCUCUGUGUGGUGUUUUAGACAAAUAUGAUGACCUAGAGUAGGGCCAAGCAGACAGGAGAGCCCAGGAAGCAGACCCUGGGAGAGGGGAGAUACCAGUUGGGCCAGCACACCUGAGGCUAUGGUCAAGGCCAUGAGGACCACAGUGUGGUGGGCACGGUGGCUGUGAAAGCCCCACUGCUGCCCAGCCAGCCCGAGACAAGCCAUGGGGAAGCACUCACCGGCCAGCCCCGUCAUAAUCUCCGCCAAUCCCGAUGAACUUGCAUCCAGUGACUGCCCUGAUGUGGUCGAAGUGAUCUGAAGAAUGGGAAGUCAGCAGUGUGGGGCUUCCAGGGCAGGGGUGGGGGUGAUGACUGGCCUCUGUUGAUUCCCCUUUUUGCAGCCUGUAGGCCAAACAGUCCAGUUCCUUCGUGGCCUGGCACCGAGAGUACCAACUCGAGGGCCCUGAGGUUUGAUCUGAAGUGAUCCCAGCUGGCUCUAGACUGGACUUCAGAUUUGGAGUGGACCCCAGAGCCCCCUGUUUGGGCCAUUUCCCACCCACGAUUCACCCUGCCUCCCAGUCUCCUUGAGAACCUGUGGGGGCUCCUUUCCCCGGGUGUGGAGGAUGAGAGAGGAACAAGAGUACAACUGAUGAAGACCCCAGAGACCUAAGGAGCUGUCCAGUCCCUUGGCCAGAGGCUGUGGUCUCCUCGGAAGCUUUGGUGGGAUGCAGGCAGCAUCUGGGAGAAGGCGCCUCGGAACUCACGUGCCCGCGUUGCCCAGGACCCCAAUUCCUUCCACCUCUCGGAUGCUGCUUUCUUUUCCCAGGGACAGAGCCAAGCUGUAAUUGACUCCUUGGGUAUUUCAAAGUCCCUGAUCCCAAGACUGAAGGAUGACUGCCUGCUGUUGUGAAAGGUGCGCUGAAUCGACAGUCCUGAGUUUUGAAGUUUUCCUGGAGGGGACGUGAGGGGAUUUCUCCAGGAUCGAUGGAACUCCUUUUGUGGUGCUUCAGUGCUUCCACCAUGAAGCGCUCAUUUCCCUAUGCACGUCCCCCCGCCCCACCCCACUGUUUCCUUUACUCUCUCUCCUCCCACCCCCAAUUCCCAGAAGAAGAUCUAGGAAUCAGGUCCAAACAUAAGAUCUUUGGAGAAUCCUUGCGUGUGUUUUUUUAAAUUUUUAUUGGAGUAUAGUUGAUUUACAAUGUUGUGUUAGUUCCGGGUGUACAGCAAAGUGAAGCAGUUAUACAUAUACAUAUAAUCCACUCUUUUUUAGACUCUUUUCCCAUACAGGUCAUUACAGAGUACUGAGUAGAGUUCCCUGUGCUAUACAGUAGGUCCUGAUUAGUCAUCUAGUUUAUAGGUAGUGUUGUGUAUAUGUCAAUCCCAAUCUCCCAAUUUAUCCUUCUCCCCUCCCCACUUUCCCCCCCUGGUAACCAUAAGUUUGUUUUCUACACCUGUGACUCUAUUUCGAAUCCUUGUGUUUUACUCUCGUCCUGAAACUAGAUAAAGCCUAGUCAUCAAUCAACAGGUGAGGAAGUAGAGCCAGGCAUUGGUUGAGUGUUGAUGUUUCUGGUACAAGCUGACUCUCCGCUCAUCAUCCCACACCUUCAUCAGCCAUCAUCAUGCUGUCUGUCACCUCCUCUUCUCUGAAGAAGGCCCGGGCCAUCUUUUGAAAAUACAAAGUCCAGCAUUGAGACCCUCCCAACUGAGAGAGCAGGAAGGGCCAGGGCUGCUGAGGUGCUCCCUGAACCCCACUCAGGGGAUCUGUGUUGUUCCCACCUGGGUGUAUUGUGUGGACCCCCUAAAAUUCCUCCAAACCUCUGCCUCUGCGCUUCCAGAUUGCCCCUGAUAGAAAUGAACAAUAAUCAUAAUACCCACCACGUACUGACCGCUGGUCUCUUGAGGGCUGCCUUGCCAUUGGACAACAUUUGUUGAGCUCCUACUGUUUGCCAGACAGCGGGUACAUGCUUUAUGUGUGUUUAGCCCUUCUGACAACACUGUGAUUUAGGACCUGUUAAUAUGUCUAUUUUGCUGAAAUGGAAACUGAGGUUCAGAGUGGUUAAAUAACAAGGAAAAGUCCAUGUUUUUACCCCCUACACUAAUAUAUAUGUAUAUUUGUGUAUAUAUAUUCUAUAUAUGUAUAUUUAACAUGUAUAUGAUGUUGACUGAAAAAAAUGCACAACCUCAAAGUUGAGAAAUAUGUUUUAUUGGGUGGGCAAAACUGAGGACUUAAGCCUGGGACACAGCCUCUCAGCUCUCUCUGAGGGACUGAUCCAAAAAGGAGAGGGAGGAGCCAUCAACUAUAGGAGUUUUUGCAACAAAGACCAGGUAAUCGGAACAUGGAAAGAUUCCUGUUAAUUAAAGAAAACCAGACAUCUCGAGUUAAUGACUUUUUAGUGUUUUUCUGUGUAUGGGAAGAUGCAAAAGUCUGGGCUCACUGAAAUCCUUCCUUUGAUAUGCACCUCAGCUAUGUGGGCCAGUAUCCUGUGCUUUCUCAUCCUGUGUUCCCUCGGGGUGCACCAUCAGGGGAGGCUGUGGCAGUUGACUGCUAGAUGGUGGGCAUCCUGUUUCCAUCCUGAGUUUCCUCAGGGUUCACUCUUGGGGCGGCUAUAAUGUGAUGGCUUGAUGGCUGCAACAUCCUUUGUUUACUGAUAUGGCAGGCAACAUUUUUUCAUUGACAAUUAUAUAUAUACAAUAGACACUGUUCGUGUUACAUAUAUUAUCUAUUUUACGUGCUACGUGUUUUUUAGACUCUUUGCAAAAAACCUUGCAAGGUAGGUGUUAUUCUUUACAUUUUGUGAAAAAGAAAUUAAAGCCUCUAACAGGCUGAGAAAUUUGUCAGGUCACUACAUCACGAUUAACAAGUCAGUGAACAAGAUUUUGAAUCCAAGUAAUCCUUUUGUGAAAACAAAACCCCCCCAAAAACAAAGAAACUAUGUUCUUUCCAUGCUCCAAAAUAUAUUUUGGUCAAGUGACUUAAGAAACUCUCCCUUAAGCUUGUCUAAAGCAGAAAAUAAGACAACAGUGCUUGACUGGAAAUUAUCAAAAGGCAGGAUCAAGCAGGAAUAAUGAAAGGGAGCCUGAGGUUUCGGGGGAUGAACCCACUGGCUAAAUAGGCCCCUGGAAACAGAAACCCACUUUUUUUUUUUUUUAAUUCAUUUGUAUAUUUGUUUAUUGACUGUUUUCCUCCAAUAGAAUGUAAUCUUUUUUUUUUUUUUAACAUCUUUAUUGGAGUAUAAUUGCUUUACAAUGGUGUUAGUUUCUGCUUUAUAACAAAGUGAAUCAGCUCUACAUAUACAUAUAUCCCCAUAUCUCCUCCCUCUUGCUAGCUCAUGAUUUAGGACCCACGCACAGGAGAAUUCAGGCUGCAUUAAUAGAAAAAUAUGACUUGCAGCCCUGGAGAUGUGGCUUCAGAGGAAAUGAUGACUUAAUGCUUGUGAUCUGUAAGAAUGUUGGUGUUUUGGGUCAAGUAACCUAUGCAUUUUCUCAAGGGAGGUAGGUUUGGGGAAAAAAGGCAAUAAUUAAACUGAACAUACCAACAAGGAAAAAAUAAUUUAACUGUUACGAUGACUCAUUUAGUUGGCAGCUUCAGGUAAUGAGGUGCUCUGGAUUAAUUUUCCUGAGAGCAGAAACAUAUCCCUUUAAAUGAUGAAGCAUGUUAUCUUCAUCAAUCUUUGAAGAAAAUAUUUCCAAGGUACAUUUUAUAUUCUCUUUUGUCAGUAGUAUUCUUGACAAUUUUUAGGACUAGAGACAUAGUUUUGUUUUUGUUUUUAAAGAGUUUAAAGAACGAUUUGAUCUUUGAAAAUCAUGUUACAUCGUUGGUCCCCAGUGUUUUCAUCUACAGUAUGUGAACUUUGGGUUAGAUGAUCAUCAAGGUUCCUUCCAUCUCUAAUAUUCUCUAAGUAAAGGGCUCUUGUGCACAAUAAAAUUUAAAACAUAAGAAUCAUCGAGGGGGCUUGUUAAAAAUGCAGAUUCUUAGGUAUCAUUGUUGGAGGUUCUGAUUCAGUUGGUUUGAGUGAGGCAAGAGAACCUGUAUCAUAAAUGGGUGCAUACCCAUGGCCAUUUUGAUGACCUCAUUUUGAGAAACUGAUUCUCUUUCCAGCCUCAGAUAACAGAUGUCAUAACCAUUUUUGGCCACCAGGGUACCGUUGCUGCCCUGCCCUCAGUGGUGUGAAGUUGUAAGGGGCUGACCAGACCCAGAGGCCUGUGCUUUGAUAGUUUGCUUCUGAUCCCAUCCUCAGUAUUAACUGUCACUUAGUUAAUGUAGCUGCUGAGGAAAACCAGAUAAUCGAGCUGCAAAUUAGGUGCCCUGCAUUUGUACCUAUGAGUCAUUAAGUUUUCAUCUCAGGCUGGGUAGGGGCGAGGGGAGGACUUCCAUUUUCUCCUGUAGUCUAAAGUGCAUAAAUGAGCCACGGCUAUCUUAGACCCUGUUUGGAGGUCUCUUACUCUUCGUUCGUGUUCUUUCUCAUCCUAAGAGUCAAGUUUCUGGAAGGGCGACAUCAGGAGAAGUGGCAGAUUUCUGUGUAAAUAUGUUAACAUUUCAUAGUGAGGUUUGGGGUCAGGGCUGUCCCUGACUUCUCUUUUAAAUUUCUUUAUUUUUUGAACAGUUGUAUUGAUGUAUAAUUCACAUGCCAUACAAUUGACUCUUUUGAAGUAUAUGCAAUUCAGUGGUUUUUAGUAAAAUCUGUGAAUUUAUAGAGUUGUAUGCACCUAUCAUGUAAUCUAAUUUUUGAACAUUUCCAUCACCCUCCAAAAGAAACCUUGUGCCUAUUUGGAAUCACUCUCAUUCCCACCCCCAGACCCAUUCAACCGAUAAUUUACUUCUUACCUCUAUAGAUUUGCCUUUUGUAGACAUUUCAUAUAAAUGGGCUCAUACCGUA